AACGAACGCUGGCGGCAGGCCUAACACAUGCAAGUCGAACGAAGUCUUCGGACUUAGUGGCGGACGGGUUAGUAACGCGUGGGAACGUGCCCUUUACUUCGGAAUAGUCCCGGGAAACUGGGUUUAAUACCGAAUACGCCCUUUGGGGGAAAGAUUUAUCGGUAAAGGAUCGGCCCGCGUUGGAUUAGGUAGUUGGUGGGGUAAUGGCCUACCAAGCCGACGAUCCAUAGCUGGUUUGAGAGGAUGAUCAGCAACACUGGGACUGAGACACGGCCCAGACUCCUACGGGAGGCAGCAGUGAGGAAUCUUGGACAAUGGGGGCAACCCUGAUCCGACGCCAUCGCCGCGUAGAACGAUAGGAACGGUCCGUUUAGGGUUAG
This 380-nucleotide ribosomal RNA is filed under the name uncultured bacterium. Its description in RNAcentral is "bacterial SSU rRNA". It matches the Rfam family "Bacterial small subunit ribosomal RNA", at positions 29 to 435 of the family's 1533-position model. The record is from RNAcentral.